Transfer RNA from Camelus ferus (Wild Bactrian camel), 65 nucleotides. It matches the Rfam family "tRNA". From Rfam's summary of the family: Transfer RNA (tRNA) molecules are approximately 80 nucleotides in length. Lineage: Eukaryota; Metazoa; Chordata; Mammalia; Artiodactyla; Camelidae. The record is from Rfam.
GAGGGUAUAGCUCAGUGGUAGAGCACGUGCUUAGCAUGUACUGGGUUCAAUCCCCAGUACCUCCA